RNAcentral lists this ribosomal RNA (899 nucleotides) under uncultured bacterium. RNAcentral describes it as "bacterial SSU rRNA". It matches the Rfam family "Bacterial small subunit ribosomal RNA", at positions 56 to 991 of the family's 1533-position model. The record is from RNAcentral.
UGCAGUUGAGCGUACCCAGCAAUGGGGAGCAGCGUAAGGGGCAGUAAGGCAUGGGUAUCUACCCGGGGAUCGGGCAUAGCCUGUAGAGAUACAGGGUAAUUCCCGAUGAUGUCGCAAGACCAAAGCUCCGGCGUCCCUGGAGGAGCCCAUGUGAUAUUAGCUAGUUGGUGGGGUAACGGCCUACCAAGGCGAAGAUGUCUAGCGGGUGUGAGAGCACGACCCGCGCCACUGGCACUGAGACACUGGCCAGACACCUACGGGUGGCUGCAGUCGAGGAUCUUCGGCAAUGGGCGCAAGCCUGACCGAGCGAGGCCGCGUGGGCGAUGAAGGCCUUCGGGUUGUAAAGCCCUGUCGAGGGGGAGAAAAGCCGCAAGGCGUGAUCUAUCCCUGGAGGAAGCACGGGCUAAGUUCGUGCCAGCAGCCGCGGUAAGACGAACCGUGCGAACGUUGUUCGGAAUCACUGGGCUUAAAGGGCGCGUAGGCGGGCUAUCAAGUCCGGGGUGAAAUCCUCCAGCUCAACUGGAGAACUGCCUCGGAUACUGAUGGUCUCGAGGAGGAUAGGGGCACACGGAACUGUGGGUGGAGCGGUGAAAUGCGUUGAUAUCCAUAGGAACUCCGGUGGCGAAAGCGGUGUGCUGGAUCCUUUCUGACGCUGAGGCGCGAAAGCCAGGGGAGCAAACGGGAUUAGAUACCCCGGUAGUCCUGGCCCUAAACGUUGGGUACUAGGUAGUAGACUAGACAUGGGUUUACUUCCGAAGCAAAAGUGCUAAGUACCCCGCCUGGGGAGUAUGGUCGCAAGGCUGAAACUCAAAGGAAUUGACGGGGGCUCACACAAGCGGUGGAGCAUGUGGCUUAAUUCGAGGCAACGCGAAAAACCUUACCUGGGGUUUGACAUGUGC